CCGUCCCUGGAUCGCUAGCCAUGCGAGUCGAGAGGGUUCGGCCCUCGGCUGACGGCUCAGUAACACGUGGAUAAUCUACCCUAAGGUGGAGGAUAACCUCGGGAAACUGAGAAUAAUACUCCAUAGGUCUAGGAUACUGGAAUGUACUUAGGCUGAAAACUUCGGUGCCCUAGGAUGAGUCUGCGGACUAUCAGGUUGUAGUCAGGGUAAAGACCUGACUAGCCUACAACGGAUACGGGUUGUGAGAGCAAUAACCCGGAGAUGAUAUCUGAGACACGAUAUCAGGCCCUACGGGGCGCAGCAGGCGCGAAAACUUCACACUGCGCGAAAGCGCGAUGAGGGAAUCCCAAGUGCUUGCACGUAAGUGUAAGCUGUUUCUAUGUCUAAAACGCAUAGAGAGUAAGAGCUGGGUAAGACGGGUGCCAGCCGCCGCGGUAAUACCUGCAGCUCAAGUGGUGGCCGUUAUUAUUGGGCCUAAAACGUCCGUAGCCGGUUUAUUAAAUGCCUGGGUAAAUCGGGCCGCUUAACGGUUCGAAUUCCGGGUAGACUGAUAGACUUGGGACCGGGAGAGGCUAGAGGUACUCCUGGGGUAGAGGUGAAAUUCUGUAAUCCUAGGGGGACCACCAGUGGCGAAGGCGUCUAGCUAGAACGGGUCUGACGGUGAGGGACGAAGCCCUGGGGCGCAAACCGGAUUAGAUACCCGGGUAGUCCAGGGUGUAAACGCUGCUUGCUUGAUGUUAGUCGGGCUCCGAGCCCGAUUAGUGUCGGAGAGAAGUUGUUAAGCAAGCUGCCUGGGAAGUACGGCCGCAAGACUGAAACUUAAAGGAAUUGGCGGGGGAGCACAGCAACGGGUGGAGCGUGCGGUUUAAUUGGAUUCAACGCCGGG
This 886-nucleotide ribosomal RNA is filed under the name uncultured archaeon. RNAcentral describes it as "bacterial SSU rRNA". It matches the Rfam family "Archaeal small subunit ribosomal RNA", at positions 27 to 922 of the family's 1478-position model. The record is from RNAcentral.